This 316-nucleotide ribosomal RNA is filed under the name uncultured bacterium. RNAcentral's name for it is "bacterial SSU rRNA". It matches the Rfam family "Bacterial small subunit ribosomal RNA", at positions 199 to 507 of the family's 1533-position model. The record is from RNAcentral.
GGGGACCGCAAGGCCUUGCGUCGAUGGAGCGGCCGAUGUCGGAUUAGCUAGUUGGUGGGAAGGACGCUACCAAGGCGACGAUCCGUAGCUGGUCUGGGAGGACGACCAGCCACACUGGGACUGAGACACGGCCCAGACUCCUACGGGAGGCAGCAGUGGGGAAUCUUGGACAAUGGGCGCAAGCCUGAUCCAGCAAUGCCGCGUGUGGGAAGAAGGCCUUCGGGUUGUAAACCACUUUUGGCAGGAAAGAAAUCGUCCGUGCUAAUACCAUGGAUGGAUGACGGUACCUGCAGAAUAAGCACCGGCUAACUACGUG